UAGACCACACAGGGCCAGGCCGAGCUGAUUGACCAGGCAUCUUGCACAACACACUCCCUUCGUGAUAAACUUUAAACUUUAACACAAAGAUGUCACCUGCGGGCCUCGCCAACACCUGCAUCUCACCUCAGCAGUUUGGCGAUUCGAAGCAGUGACCGGCUGGCUUCGUGUCAUCCCGGAGUUCCCGUCGCCAGUGCAGAGAGAGAAACGGUGAAGGAAGCACAUAGCGUUAGAUGUCUCCGCUGCAGGCAUGGUGAGUCUAUCUGGCAAUUACUACUUGAAUUUACAGAUCACCGCUAUUUUGAGGGACCGAGAUAGCGGUGGCGGUGGAGGUGUUGGUGGUGUCACGUAAUGGCAGCAGUGAUACCCCCCCUUCCCCCUCACCGCCACCUUUCAUGAAAUGGCUGGAGGAACAAAGAAAUGCGUCCUGGUAUUACACAUGGGUGAAGUUGCGGCGCUGAUCACAACACUCCAGACAAGAAAAGACACUGGACAAACUGGUAACAUGGUACACGACCAAAGAUCCCUGCUAGUGAAUCUGCAGCCCGGCGUGUGAUGGAGACCUCUGCUGGCUGGUUGAAUGACUGGCUUGGAGGCGCGGGGCUGUGGACGCGACUGUCACGUGUUUCGUAAUAACGUGGACGGAGUGGCGGGGACCUGCCUAAACGAUGGACGCAUCCUUACUGCCGGCUGCUUCUCACUUAUGACUUAGAAAAGUGAGGUACUGAACGAGAGACACUUCUUUCUUCCCGGGACAUGGCAGCGGCGUUGAACGAAGAUACUUACUCCCGGACUAUUGUGCAUAUAGAAUUAAGGUGCCUCUGGAGGUGAACUGCACCAUCGAUAUAAUUGAAUGGCGUGUAUAUAACACAAAAUAAUAAAACACCACACUCG
This is a long non-coding RNA of Scylla paramamosain (green mud crab), 894 nucleotides long. RefSeq lists it as uncharacterized. Lineage: Eukaryota; Metazoa; Arthropoda; Malacostraca; Decapoda; Portunidae. The record is from RefSeq and is a predicted model, not a curated record. The transcript has 7 exons.